UUGGGGGUACAUAUGCAGAUUUGUUAUAUGGGUAUAUUGCGUAACACUGAGGUUUGGGCUUCAGUUGAAUCCAUCAUGUAGUUAGUGAACCUCGUAUGCAAUAGGUAGUUUUUCAACCUUUGCUCCAAUCCUUUCCUUUCCACAUUUGGAGUCCCCAGUGUCUGUUGUUUCCAAGAUUGCCCUUUUAACCAAUGGUCAGAGACUCAAAUGUCCCCUCGUCUACCUAUAGCCAAAUACAGCAAUCCCUUCUAGACACCACUUACCGAUGGCUGUCCAGUGAGCCAUAGGGGCUCGGAGUUAGUUUAGAUUUUAUAAAUGGAGGUGGACUCAUCCCUUCUCUUAUCUGGCACUUCACUCAGGGCAUUUGUUCGAGGCAGCAAGCCAGCAUCAGAGAUAAUCUAUCACUAUAGAAGAGAGGAACAGUGACCAUGCACUUAGCCCCAGUGGCACCUGAUGCCAACCAUUGUGCAAUCUGGUCCUUUGCUCAGACAUGUCUGCUCAAUAAGUCCUUGUAGAAUUCACAGUCAGUUUUACAGCUGCAUUACCUUUGCCCCAAGCAUGGUUAGAGGAAUCAGCAGGUGACGAUCAGCCAGGAGCUACAUAAUUUCUGAGGGGUUUGGUCAUUCUUUGGUUUCUCUUUCACAGGAUACAAGUGAUGCCUUCAAAUUUGAGCUCAGUUUCUUAUGGUCGUUUAGGAGCAUGAGGGUUUCUGCAAUAAUCUACCAGUGAAAUGAUGAUCAAGAUCUUGGAAAGCACUCUACUGGUCAAGCAGAAUAGUUCCUGUCAUCUCCAUUAAGAAUCAGCUUAUUGGCCGGGCGCAGUGGCUCAUGCCUGUAAUCCCAGCACUUUGGGAGGCUGAGGCGGGUGGAUCACGAGGUCAGGAGAUCGAGACCAUCCUGUCUAACAAGGAAUCCUUUCUGGCACUCAAGAGUUUUCAAUUCAAUCCUGAUGAAUGAAUCAUUAUUUGAUACCAGCCUAAGUGAAGACUCUGCCUGGUGACUUUUGCAAGGUGGUUUCUGGCUGCAACAUGGGAAGAUUUGGGAUCAGUGAGAUGGAAGAGAUUUUUCUGGCUACUAGCGUUCCUAAGAAAGAGCUUUAGUGUUUAUCCAGCUAUUGGUAUGCAGACAACUAUACCCUUAUGAGAAACACUAGCAGAGAAGAAGAGUUCUUGACUGGGUCUGGGCCAUGAAACUGACCGGAUAAAAGUGGGAGAAGAAGAGAUGUUGAAGGAGGAGUUUGCUGUUUUCUCAGUCUCCUGAGAAAUUCCAGGCUUGGAGAUAUUUGAGGCAUCUCCUCCCCCCAAACUCAGUUGGACAGAUCAGAAAAAUGAGGUCCAGCAAACUGAAAUGACUUGCUCCAGAACUCACAGACAAUUAAUGACUAGAACCCAGGUCUUCUAACUUCCUACCAAUUAUUGUGAGGAGAGCCCAUAAAGGAGAAAAGGACAAGGGAUGAUCUAUGGAACAUUCAAACUCCUGUCUCUAGUUGCCUUUUUCUGGUUGUUUCUUGGAUAUCACGCACUCUCAUCAGCAGCCUUCCUACUCUUACAGAUUAUCAACACCUGUCCCAAAAUCCUGGGGCCAGCCAUGGUGCUUGGGCUUUUUUUCCCACAUCUAACCAUUCCGCAGCAUAUAACAAAUCCUUGACAAAUUUCCAGUGGAAAAAAAUAGCAGAAACCAUACACCCUCCAUCUGUGAAUUGAUGUGGCCAAGAACAGGCUUAUUUCAAAGGGUGCACCAUAGAAUAGUCGUAAGACUCAACCCCUCCAAGACUAGCUGGUGCUUAUCCCGCCCAUAGGCAGUUAAAAGGACUUUAUUUGCAUCUUAUUCUUUCCAACAGAAAGGCAAACAUUAUUAUUACAAUUCAGUAAAUUUCCAUAAGGAACCCCAUUGAUACAUGUUGUAUAUUUUGGGUUCUUUUGUUUCAUACUGAGCAUACCAACAUUAUAUCAAUAUUAUAUUUAUCUAGCAUUCUCCCAUAUUCAUAGAAAUAGAGAACUCAUCAGCCUUUAAAAAGAACUCAAAUGCACACAAAAUUUCACCCUCUAGAAAAGCAUCAAUGAAAAUGAUUUUGCAAAUAUAUAUACUUUUCAAUAUGUAAGUAUCUACAAAAAAAUUGAUAAUAAUUAAAUACCUGUAAAGUGCCAUGCACUUUACCUGUAUAUCUCAUUUAAUUCUCACAACAACCCUGUGAAGUAAGAAUUACUACGCCCAUUUUAUAGAUGAACUAGCUAGGAGUCAAAGACAUUGAGCCACUUGCCACACAUUUACAGCACGGAGCUACAAAGAUCUGGGACUUGAAUCCAGAUUUUCUAACUCCAGAGCCAAAGCUUUUCUUAAUAUGCCACAGGAGCAAGCACAGGAGCUUGCUCCAAAAGUCAAGUUAAUUUUUAGGAAAGAAUUAGGUAAGCAAAUAUUCAUGAAUUAGAGAAUGUCUUUAAUUUCAGAUCCAAAUCACUUGGUCACUUAAAAAUAAAAGACAAUAAAUCAUAAGGGAUUCUACUUGACUUAUUAUCUAAAGUGAUUAAUAAGAAUGACAUUUCCCCACCAACCCCAAAUGAAAAAAUCAAUUUGGGAAGUUUCCCAAUAAUUUAAACUUGAAACACUAAUCUGAAAAAGAAAAUCUAUAUAUCAAAAGUCUUCAUAGUAUGGCACAAAUAAAACAGAAUCUUAAUUUCCAAUUUCUAUUAAACUGAUUUUUCUUUUAAACUGGAGCCAGAAAGCCAAAAAGCCUUCAAAUCAAUUGAGCCUCUUGCAUUUUAUUUAAGAGGUUUCAUUUUUCAAACCAAAGCUGGGAAGACAAAACAAGCUUAUUUAAUUCACACCCCAGAAUUGUAAUUUCUCUGUUCAAGCCAAUGUCUAAGUGCCUGUAUUAAGGGCUUCCCACUGACCAUAAUGUGUUAAUUCAUCAUUGCACACAAUUUUCCUUUGUACUUUUAAGCUACUCUUCAUUUUCCCCUUGGUUAGGGUUGCCUAUACAACAGAGGACACCCAGUAAAACAUAAAUUUCAGAUAAACAACAAAUAGUCUUUACAUAAGCAUGCCCCCUGCAAUAAUUGAGACAUACUUAUACCCCCAAAAUUAUUUAUCUGAAAUUCACAUUUAACUAGACAUCCUGUAUUUUUAUUUGCUAAAUCUGGCAACCCUAUUCUUGAUCCAUUGUGGGUAUUCCCAGGACUUCACCUCUAAACUAUUAUAUUUUUCAAAUACAUUAUUUGUAUGUUUUGUGGUGUGUAUGUGUGUGUGUGUGCACGCGCGCGUGCCUCUCAGAAUGGAGGUUCUGGAGCAUCUCUCACUCUUGAGACCACAGCCAUCUAUCACUUUGGUUAUCAAUGUGUCCUCUAUCGUAUAUAUAAUUAUGUAUUAUGUUAUAUAUAUAUAUAUAUACAUAAUUUAGUGUGAAACUAGCCAGGACCAUUUUGAAAACGAAAAGUCAGUGGUGGGAGGUGGGAAGGAGUGUGUUGGGAGAAACUUUACCCACCACGUAUUAAAAGGUAUUAUAAAUCUAUACUGAUUAAAACAGUUUGGUUCUAGUAUGUGAGUAGAUAAAUUAACACCACAGAAUAGAGAUUACCCAAUUCUUUACCCCAAAAUAAGUUCUAGAAAUAUAAAGGAGUCAAAUGGAAAAUGCAAUUGUAAAGACACCAAGAGAAAGCAUGGAAUAAUUAUAUGUAGUCUUGAAGUGAAAAUGAUUUUUCUAAGGAAGAUGCAAAAUCCAGGAAGUAAAAAGAAAAAUUUCAUAAAUCUAGCUACAUAUAAUUUUCAAAACUUUUUUCAUGUAGAAAAUAUAAUAAAUGCAGUCAAAAAGCAAUUUAGGGGAACAUCUUCAAUUUAUCUCACUCAGGGUGGACUAAGUUAUUUAAUAUGUAAAAAUCUCUUGCAAAUCAAUAGAAAAAAAGCAAAAUCAUGAAUAGAAAAAUGAGUAAAGGCUAUAAAUGGACAUUUCACUGAAAAACAGCCAUACAAGUUAAUAAACACACAGAAAAAGAGGCUUAACCUCACUGAUGAUUAAGGCAAUGCAAGUUAAAGCAAUAAUGAAACAUCAUUUCCCUUCAUUAUAUUGAAAAAGAUUAAAAGCUAGAUAAUGUGUAGUAUUGAUGGGGAUAGAGAGAUGGGCAUUUCAUAACUUGUAGAUGAGAUUAUAAAUUGGUGCAACGUCUUUGGAGGGCACGAUUUUGCAGUAUCUUUUAAUAUGAAAAAUGUAUUUAUCCUUGACUAAGUAAUUCCCAUUCUAGAAAUGUAUAUUAUGAAAAUACUUGCACAGUAUGCAAAUGUAUACAAGUAUAAGGGUGUCCAUUGCAGUAUUAUUUGUGUUAAUGAAAAAUGGGACUAAGGCAAAUGUCUAUUAUAAGAGAUAGGAUAAAAAAUUUAGUGCAUAUUCAUAUAUUGAAAUAAUAUUGUCAAUUAAAAAAUAAAACUGAUCCACAUGUGUGGAAAUAAAAUUAUUUCCCAAUUUAAUUUGUUGAAAUUUUUAAAAGACUCACAAUGGUGUGCAGGUGAAUGCCCUUUUUUAAUAAGGAAAGAUGCAUAUAUGUACAUAUGUUUGUAUGUGCAGAAGUAGACUGGCUUUUUUAUAUCCUUUUGUACUCUGAAGCUUUCUGUAUGAAUUGCAUGUAUUACUUUUUCAAUAAAAAACCUAA
This 4639-nucleotide long non-coding RNA is filed under the name Homo sapiens (human). Its description in RNAcentral is "HSALNT0408725". The record is from RNAcentral. Lineage: Eukaryota; Metazoa; Chordata; Mammalia; Primates; Hominidae.